Tetranychus urticae (two-spotted spider mite) is the source of this 463-nucleotide non-coding RNA. The record is from RefSeq and is a predicted model, not a curated record. NCBI's taxonomy places the organism in Eukaryota, Metazoa, Arthropoda, Arachnida, Trombidiformes, Tetranychidae.
GCCUGGUUACCUUCCUACAAUGCAAUGAAAGGAUGAUGGAUUAAUCAGAUAUUUAUUUGUAUUUUUUGACUCACUGAUUUCGAGGACAUCCUGAUAUUGGUAUUCAAAGUAAACAGGCAUCAGGUAUCAUUUAUUUUUACUAGUCUUUGUAGAUUUGCCUUGGUGGAGUCAACUAUUUAUUUGUGAUCGAUAGUUUUGUUUUCAAAUUUUUCCACCUUUAAAUUAAAUUAAUUAACAAUGAGUCGGAUACGGAAGUUUUUUCUCAUGCUUUUUCUGAGGAAACAGAAAAAGUCGUUCACCAAAAAGAUGAAAGAAAAGGUGACACCAUCUGACUGAUAAAUGGUUUGAGUGAUCAAGGAAACACUUAUAUUUUGACUACACUUUGAUUAUCACUUGCUAUCCUUCAAUGUAAAGUCUUUGGAUUAAUUCUUAUUAAUAAAGAAGGUUUAUAUUUGAAUUUUGA